RNAcentral lists this ribosomal RNA (658 nucleotides) under uncultured bacterium. RNAcentral's name for it is "bacterial SSU rRNA". It matches the Rfam family "Bacterial small subunit ribosomal RNA", at positions 28 to 730 of the family's 1533-position model. The record is from RNAcentral.
AGCGAACGCUGGCGGCAGGCUUAACACAUGCAAGUCGAGCGGGCGUAGCAAUACGUCAGCGGCAGACGGGUGAGUAACGCGUGGGAACGUACCUUUUGGUUCGGAACAACACAGGGAAACUUGUGCUAAUACCGGAUAAGCCCUUACGGGGAAAGAUUUAUCGCCGAAAGAUCGGCCCGCGUCUGAUUAGCUAGUUGGUGAGGUAAUGGCUCACCAAGGCGACGAUCAGUAGCUGGUCUGAGAGGAUGAUCAGCCACAUUGGGACUGAGACACGGCCCAAACUCCUACGGGAGGCAGCAGUGGGGAAUAUUGGACAAUGGGCGCAAGCCUGAUCCAGCCAUGCCGCGUGAGUGAUGAAGGCCCUAGGGUUGUAAAGCUCUUUUGUGCGGGAAGAUAAUGACGGUACCGCAAGAAUAAGCCCCGGCUAACUUCGUGCCAGCAGCCGCGGUAAUACGAAGGGGGCUAGCGUUGCUCGGAAUCACUGGGCGUAAAGGGUGCGUAGGCGGGUCUUUAAGUCAGGGGUGAAAUCCUGGAGCUCAACUCCAGAACUGCCUUUGAUACUGAAGAUCUUGAGUUCGGGAGAGGUGAGUGGAACUGCGAGUGUAGAGGUGAAAUUCGUAGAUAUUCGCAAGAACACCAGUGGCGAAGGCGGCUCACU